RNAcentral lists this long non-coding RNA (244 nucleotides) under Brassica rapa (field mustard). Its description in RNAcentral is "long non-coding RNA (BRAP_LNC001418)". The record is from RNAcentral. Lineage: Eukaryota; Viridiplantae; Streptophyta; Magnoliopsida; Brassicales; Brassicaceae.
AUUUGGUUGGGGCUGGCGUAGUCGCGUCUGCAGUAGGCAUCCCCGCAAGAGCAUCAUCACCUUUCUCCGGGUCCUCUGACGACGAAGCAGAUGAGCUGGCAUUCUUCGAUGCCUUAGCAGGGGAAUCCGUUAGCACGAUAGUCGGCACGGCUCCGUCCUUCAGAACAACCGCUCCUGCUGAUGCCUGCUUCGCAGGGUCAAUGUCUUGGUCGGUGGGCUGGUUGGAGGAUACAGCAGUUUGAGC